AAGGAAUCUUCCACAAUGGGCGAAAGCCUGAUGGAGCAACGCCGCGUGCAGGAUGAAGGCCCUCGGGUCGUAAACUGCUUUUAUGAGUGAAGAAUAUGACGGUAACUCAUGAAUAAGCACCGGCUAACUACGUGCCAGCAGCCGCGGUCAUACGUAGGGUGCAAGCAUUAUCCGGAGUGACUGGGCGUAAAGAGUUGCGUAGGCGGUUAGUAAAGCGAAUAGUGAAACCUGGUGGCUCAACCAUACAGACUAUUAUUCGAACUCACUAACUCGAGAGUAUUAAAGGUAACUGGAAUUUCUUGUGUAGGAGUGAAAUCCAUAGAUAUAAGAAGGAACACCAAUGGCGUAGGCAGGUUACUGGACCAUUUCUGACGCUAAGGCACGAAAGCGUGGGG
Molecule: ribosomal RNA, 395 nt
Filed under: uncultured bacterium
Lineage: Bacteria
Description: bacterial SSU rRNA
Rfam family: Bacterial small subunit ribosomal RNA
Source: RNAcentral